This 228-nucleotide ribosomal RNA is filed under the name Triticum aestivum (bread wheat). RNAcentral describes it as "partial small subunit ribosomal RNA". The record is from RNAcentral. Lineage: Eukaryota; Viridiplantae; Streptophyta; Magnoliopsida; Poales; Poaceae.
AUGGACCAUUCCAUCCGUUUUUCCCGUGCAUAUGCAUCGGACUCGGUUGACGAUGGUCCCGACGAACAAGUUGAUGCAGAGGGGUUCACGGUGAAGGAGGCCAAAGCUUUCGAGAAGUUAUUCGGUCGGGAUCAUCGGACUACAUUGUUCAAGGAUGUUAGUCUCGCGGAUGAAGCCGUGGUAGAUGGUGGCCAAUGUAUAUCUUUUAGGGUUAGGCCAAGCUCUCAC